GCGUGUGUGAAGAAGGCCCUCUGGUUGUAAAGCACUUUCGGUAGGAAAGAAAAUCUUAAAGCUAAUAUCUUUAAAGAGUUGACGUUACCUACAGAAGAAGCACUGGCUAACUCUGUGCCAGCAGCCGCGGUAAUACAGAGAGUGCAAGCGUUAAUCGGAAUUAUUGGGCGUAAAGCGCGCGUAGGUGGAUAUUUAAGUCGGAUGUGAAAGCCCUAGGCUCAACUUAGGAAUUGCGUCCGAUACUGAAUAUCUUGAGUAUGGUAGAGGGAAGUGGAAUUUCCGGUGUAGCGGUGAAAUGCGUAGAUAUCGGAAGGAACACCAGUGGCGAAGGCGACUUCCUGGACCAAUACUGACACUGAGGCGCGAAAGCGUAGGGAGCAAACAGGAUUAGAGACCCUGGUAGUCCACGCUGUCAACGAUGAGAACUAGCUGUUGGAGAGUUUACUCUUUAGUAGCGAAGCUAACGCGUUAAGUUCUCCGCCUGGGGAGUACGGCCGCAAGGUUAAAACUCAAAGAAAUUGACGGGGGCCCGCACAAGCGGUGGAGCAUGUGGUUUAAUUCGAUGCAACACGAAAAACCUUACCUACCCUUGACAUCCUCGGAACUUGUCAG
RNAcentral lists this ribosomal RNA (612 nucleotides) under Coxiella-like endosymbiont. RNAcentral's name for it is "bacterial SSU rRNA". It matches the Rfam family "Bacterial small subunit ribosomal RNA", at positions 399 to 1003 of the family's 1533-position model. Lineage: Bacteria; Pseudomonadati; Pseudomonadota; Gammaproteobacteria; Legionellales; Coxiellaceae. The record is from RNAcentral.